This is a long non-coding RNA of Bactrocera oleae (olive fruit fly), 2452 nucleotides long. RefSeq lists it as uncharacterized. Lineage: Eukaryota; Metazoa; Arthropoda; Insecta; Diptera; Tephritidae. The record is from RefSeq and is a predicted model, not a curated record.
UUAGUCGCCUUUUACGACAGGCAUGCCUUACCGCGAGUAAAUUCUUACCCCUACCCACAGGGGGACUGAUUAAGCACAGUCCGAUAGGUCAUUUCGAAUGGCAUAUUUAUGCUAUGUGGUCGGAUAUCAAUUAAACAGCUUCUUGAGAGAAAAAAGACGUGUGCCCAAUUUCAGAUCGAUAUCUUAAAAACUGAGAGACUAGUUGCCGUAUAUACUAACAGCCGGACAUGGCUUAAUCAACUCAGCUGGCCACGCUGCUCAUUUAUAUACAGCUGUAAUCAAAAUAAGAGCGCAAAUUGGCUUCAUGGAUAAUGCAGAAUAAAUAAUGCGACUUAAUUGUUUCGAAUGUAAUUUUUGUAUCUUACAUAUUUAGUAAUGAAAAAAUAUAAACAAAAAACAGCUACUUCAUGGAAGUUCAACUGGAAAAUUAUCGAAAACUUUGAAAUAAAAAAAAAAUGGUCAAACGAUUUCUUUAAUUAUAAUAGUUUCAUGUAAAAAAGAUACUAAUAAGAAUGAAAUAAUAUUUUGUGUUAAUUAAUCUUGACAUAACCGAGCCGAUUCCUGAUAUCCUUGACUCAUUGUAUUGGCUCUACGCCAUAGUAGGAAAAACAUGCCCUCAGCAUUAUGAUUGUCCGGCCAUGUUUGACAGUUUUUAUACAAUGUUUUGGGUUCAAUUCGUUUUUGUGUGGUAUUUUCACAUACUGUCAGAAACCUCGCAAAAAAAAACUGAAUUUUCUUUAAUUCUUCUGACAACAAGAUGCAGAGCCAUUUUUCUGGUAACCACUGAAUAUGUAAGUUUGCAAAUUGAAUCCCUGCUGUUAGGCUUUUAUUUCUAUGAAAAGAAAUUUUCUCGGGCUGUGUACUGUUCAUUAAAAUCAAAUUAUAUACCAAGCUAAUUCGUCCACAAGUUAAUAAAAAAUAGAGUUGAAGGUACUUUUGCAUCACUUAAGUUACAAUGAACGACAAAUUAUUGAUUCUAUCAUAAUUUGAAAUGAGCGCUCCUAAUAUAUUAAGACGCUAAAAACAACACGAAUUGGUUAAAUUCGGGAAUUGUCAAGAACAAAAAAAAUUCAAAGGCAAAAAUAAAGCGAAUGCAUGCGCUGUUUUUUCAAUCAUCUACUCGGCCAACGUCUGCGUUAUUCGACAAAAUCAUCGCCUUCCCACGGUCAAGGUUGCUACUUUGUUGUGAUUGACGCGUCUAUUAGUUAUAUGAACUACCGUUUGUGUGUGUGUUAUUGGCACUAUUGCUCUUGUUGCCGUUAUUUCUAUAAAUAUUGAAAUAUGAAAAUGUUUAACGUGCGGUAGAUCACUACCCUGUUCACUGUGUGACUAUUAAACUGAGCAUUCGGCGCGCCCAUACUCUGCCAUCGACCAGUUGCUUGUGAAUAUAAUAGGUAUGGAUCGCUCGCUCAUUUACCAACUUUCCGCACUCGUACGUACUAUCGUACAUUCCCAUCGAAUGUUAUCGGCACUUGUAAAUAUUGUUCACUCAACUUUUCUUCCGCUGUAUGUACAUUCGUAUGCGUAAGCAAUCUUGUCCAAACCCCAUUCUACUACAACAAUCGUCAUUUGGCAGGUGAUAGAUCACAAAAGUACUAGCCGGUCAUUGAAGACUAAGAUUUGUAGGUAUAUGUGUAUAGCUAUUUAUUAAUAAGCAACUUUUAAUAUGUAUGUACAAAUUCGCUGUAUGUUUAAAAGUUUCUUAAACAAAAAAUUUGGACGAAAACGAUUAUAUUCGUAUGUUUUCAGCGGAUUUUUGUCACCAGUAUAAAUGAAAAGCUAUUCAAAAACACGUCGCUAAAACUACUAGAUGAAGAAUAAUAUUGCCGUAUUACCAAUACUUAUUUUUUUUAUUAAAGAUGUAGAUCGGGAAGUUUAUUAAAUACGAUUUUAAACAACGUGAAAUUAAUUGAUUAGUCUUGGUUUUGUCUAACCAAUUAGUAAAAAUUUAUUAAUUUUUCGAAAAUCAGAGUAAAAAUGAAAUGUAUGAAAUAAAUAAACUAAAUAAUGAUUCAUAUUAAUAAUACAUGUGUGGUGUUGUUUUUUUUUUUCUCGUAAUCGUACAUAAAAGUACCAACAUAGUCAAAGGAUCCAAAAGCAUAGUAACAACUUGCUAGAACAACAGAAUCACAUGUCUACGCGAUCGAGGGCAUUUAAAGUAUUUUAACAACUUUAUCAAUCUUUUUAUACAUUUAUGGUAUUGAAAAUAUUCGGAUAGAAAGUUAAAAAAACAAAAAGCAACAAAACAAGUAAGAAAGGGCUAAGUUCGGGCAUUAGCGAAAAUUUUAUACUCUCGCAAAAAAACUGCAUACUCUCUAAAUCCAUUUUAGCUAGCACACUGUGCCUAGUUUGAUCCAACUUAAAAGAUGGAAUAGCUUAUAUCUCCAUUAUGUUAAAAGCGAAACAAAUCAUAAAUAAAAAAUAUAUAUGUAUGUUUUUGUUAAAAAUUUAA